This 2743-nucleotide unclassified non-coding RNA is filed under the name Hevea brasiliensis (rubber tree). The record is from RNAcentral. Lineage: Eukaryota; Viridiplantae; Streptophyta; Magnoliopsida; Malpighiales; Euphorbiaceae.
CGGAGUCUCUCAAUUAAAUGCUAGAUUCGUAGCUGUUUUACCGAGUCAUUUCCAUGUCAACUACAGGGGGCUAUGUCUAGCAUCCUCCGCCGCACCUUCUCAUCAUCUGCUCAACUUGCCACCAGUACUGCCACCAUCUCUACAAAAUCACCAACUACUGUCCUCUACGAAGAGCGCAACUUGAAGCGCCUCGUACAGAAGUUCAAAAAAUUCUGUGAAAACAACCGCUUCCGGACUAAUAACGGCAUUUAUGAAGGAAUUGUUAGCCGCCUCGCCGCUGCCAAACGCUUUCAUUGGAUCGAGGAGAUCCUCGACGACCAAAAGAAGUAUGAUGAUAUAUCUAAAGAAGGCUUUAAUGCCCGUUUGAUUUCGCUAUAUGGGAAAUCAGGCAUGUUCGAUAAUGCCUACAAAGUGUUCGAUGAAAUGCCCGAGAGAAAUUGCAAGAGGACGGUACUAUCCUUCAAUGCGCUGCUGGCAGCAUGUGUCAACUCUAAGAAAUAUGACAAAGUUAAUGAGUUGUUUAGGAAUUUGCCACAGAAGUUGGAGAUCCAACCAGAUUUAGUCUCAUACAAUACAGUUAUUAAGGCAUUUUGUGAGAUGGGUUCGUUGGAUUCAGGGAUUUCUUUACUUAUUGAGAUUGAGAUGAAAGGUGUGCAGCCUGAUUUGAUUACGUUUAAUACACUUUUAAAUGGGUUUUAUGCAAAUGGGCGAUUUGUAGAUGGCGAGAGGUUAUGGAGUCAAAUGGUGCAGAAAAAAAUAUGUCCUGAUAUAUGGAGUUACAAUGCAAAGUUGCUUGGAUUUGCAUUGGAGAAGAGAACAAAAGAUGCAGUUGAGUUAGUUGAAGAAAUGAAGGAUAAGGGGAUUAAACCUAGUACUAUUAGUUUCAAUGCUUUGAUUAAAGGGUUUGUUAAAGAGAAGAAUUUGGAAGAAGCUAAGCGUUGGUACUGUGAAAUAGGGAAUAGUGAUUGUAAGCCAGAUAAAUUCACAUUUGCAACAUUGAUUCCUUUUGUGUGUGAGAAGGAUGAUUUGGGGUUUGCUUUUGAGCUUUCGAAAGUUAUCAUCAGCAGGAAGCUUUUUGUUGACAAGGCAUUGUUACAGCGUGUUGUAGAUGGAUUGUUGAAGGAGUCGAAGAUUCAGGAGGCGAAGGAACUUGCGCAGCUUGGGAACGACAAUAGUUACUGUCGUUAUAAGUUGAUGCUGCCCACUAAGGUGUGCGGUUCCGGUUUGAAUUCAGAAGAUAUCCAAGAAUUGGAAUCAAGCUGAAUUUUUGGUACAAUUUCAAUUUGAUUCAGUUAUUUGAUGUUUCAGUUUUACUUUGGUUUGAUUAUAAGUUGUAUGCAAAUUAUCAUUUAAGCUUCAAAACUAAUUGACAAUGCACAAUACAUGAAGCUCGAUUAAUGUUUGGACGAAUCCUUGGGUCCCUCUGGAGAAUAAUUUUUGUGUUAAUACUAAGGCUUCUUUAGGUGAAGAGGAUAUGAAGGUCAAUUCUCUUUUUCACAAUAACAAAAGGAGAUGGUCGGUGGCAAUGUUGCAUAAUCUUUUUCCUCUUAAUGUUGUGAAUAAUAUUCUUUAGAUUCUUCUAAGUUUUUAUGGGGAUGUAGAGUGACAUUUUAAUAAGAGAGGCUUGUGCACUAUUAAAUCUACUUAUCAUGUAGCUAUGGAUAUGAGUAGUGAGAACAGUCAGACUUCGGUGCAAGGGGAUUGGAAAAGGAUCUGGAAUCUUCAAGUCGCACCAAAAGUUUAAAACUUCAUCCGGAGAGCUAACCGUAAUAUUAUUCCAACAAAAACUAAGCUUCUUUCCAGAGUUAUUGAACUUGACCUGUCCUGCACUAUUUUUGGUGCUAUUGAGGAUCUCAUGCAUGUUUUUUUUUUAACUGUCCCAAAUCGGUGGGUGUUUGGCAAGCUUUGGAUUUGGUGGUUGAUAUUAGUUUUGUAACUUUUGAUUCCUAUUUCUAUCAGCUUAUCAUAGAUGUGGACAAAUGGCGUGCUGCUUUUAUCAAUGUGAUUAUGUGGACUUUGUGGACAUCCAGGAAUCUUCUUUUGUGGCAAGAUAUUUAUUAUUCAUCUCAUGAUGUUAUUUCCUUAGCCCAACAUAUGGGAGUCUGCAAACUCUCGAUCUCCUAGCUUUGUUCCAUCUAUGUGUCAGUGAGAGGUGUUGGGUCAAAUGGAAGUUGCCGGAAGCAGGGAAAUCAAAGUGUAAUAUAGACGCUGCUUGCUUUAACUUGGAAAACUUGUCAAAGUUUGGUUCUGUUCUUUGUAAUGAUGAAGCUGGCUUUGUUUGUGCCAUCUCAGGUUUUGCUCAUGGUCAUCACAUUCCAUGAGUAGCUGAGGCAUUAGGUUUCCGCGAGACUCUAAUUUGGAUGCGAGAUUAGUUUCCUUCCAAUGUAGAGUUUGAGCUGGAUUCUCUUGAAGUUGUGUAGGCUAUUCAAUCAUAAGAGGAGGAUUGCUAAGAAUUUGUUGCCGUGGUGAGGGAUUGCAAGGCUCCGCUGUCUCAAGGUGAAGGGUAUCCCUUAACUUGGAUUAAAAGGGAAGCAAACAAGGUGGCUCAUUGUUUAGCUAGGGCGUCUUGUUCUUACGCUUCUUUGCUUCUUUUGCUGUUUGGGAUCAUGUUCCUAAUUUCUUAUUUUCGUUGUUAAGUGCUAAUGUCUCUUUUCCAAGUUUUUUUUUAAUAACUUUCAUGGUCCUAAAUUGGAUGUGUUAGGGUGAUUUGUCAGUCUAGGUUUAGUUUGAGUUUGAACCUUUU